Molecule: ribosomal RNA, 267 nt
Filed under: uncultured Cortinarius
Lineage: Eukaryota; Fungi; Basidiomycota; Agaricomycetes; Agaricales; Cortinariaceae
Description: partial 28S ribosomal RNA
Rfam family: Eukaryotic large subunit ribosomal RNA
Source: RNAcentral
GUGACCUCAAAUCAGGUAGGACUACCCGCUGAACUUAAGCAUAUCAAUAAGCGGAGGAAAAGAAACUAACAAGGAUUCCCCUAGUAACUGCGAGUGAAGCGGGAAAAGCUCAAAUUCAAAAUCUGGCGGUCUUUUGGCUGUCCGAGUUGUAAUCUAGAGAAGUGUUAUCCGCGCUGGACCGUGUACAAGUUUCCUGGAAUGGAGCAUCAUAGAGGGUGAGAAUCCCGUCUUUGACAUGGACUACCAGGCUUUGUGAUGCGCUCUCAA